This 253-nucleotide ribosomal RNA is filed under the name uncultured bacterium. RNAcentral describes it as "partial 16S ribosomal RNA". It matches the Rfam family "Bacterial small subunit ribosomal RNA", at positions 524 to 776 of the family's 1533-position model. The record is from RNAcentral.
UACAGAGGGUGCGAGCGUUGUCCGGAAUCACUGGGCGUAAAGGGCGCGUAGGUGGCAGGCCAAGUCAGUGGUGAAAGCUCGAUGCUCAACAUCGAGUCGGCCACUGAUACUGGUGUGCUGGAGCACUGUAGAGGCAGAUGGAAUUCCGGGUGUAGCGGUGGAAUGCGUAGAGAUCCGGAAGAACACCGGUGGCGAAGGCGGUCUGCUGGGCAGUUGCUGACACUGAGGCGCGACAGCGUGGGGAGCAAACAGG